Molecule: ribosomal RNA, 412 nt
Filed under: uncultured bacterium
Lineage: Bacteria
Description: bacterial SSU rRNA
Rfam family: Bacterial small subunit ribosomal RNA
Source: RNAcentral
UGUCAGCCGCCGCGGUAAUACAGAGGUCCCAAGCGUUGUUCGGAUUCACUGGGCGUAAAGGGUGCGUAGGCGGUUUGAUAAGUUUGGCGUGAAAGCCCCGGGCCUAACCCGGGAAUGGCGUUGAAAACUGUUGAACUAGAGGAUUGGAGGGGAGACUGGAAUUCUUGGUGUAGCAGUGAAAUGCGUAGAUAUCAAGAGGAACAUCAGUGGCGAAGGCGGGUCUCUGGACAAAUCCUGACGCUGAGGCACGAAAGCUAGGGGAGCAAACAGGAUUAGAUACCCUGGUAGUCCUAGCUGUAAACGGUGUGCGCUUGCUGUAAGAGGAAUCGACCCCUUUUGUGGCGUAGCUAACGCGAUAAGCGCACCGCCUGGGAAGUACGGUCGCAAGAUUAAAACUUAAAGAAAUUGACGG